This 487-nucleotide ribosomal RNA is filed under the name uncultured bacterium. RNAcentral's name for it is "bacterial SSU rRNA". It matches the Rfam family "Bacterial small subunit ribosomal RNA", at positions 501 to 987 of the family's 1533-position model. The record is from RNAcentral.
CUACGUGCCAGCAGCCGCGGUAAUACGUAGGUGGCAAGCGUUGUCCGGAAUUAUUGGGCGUAAAGCGCGCGCAGGCGGAUAGGUCAGUCUGUCUUAAAAGUUCGGGGCUUAACCCCGUGAUGGGAUGGAAACUGCCAAUCUAGAGUAUCGGAGAGGAAAGUGGAAUUCCUAGUGUAGCGGUGAAAUGCGUAGAUAUUAGGAAGAACACCAGUGGCGAAGGCGACUUUCUGGACGAAAACUGACGCUGAGGCGCGAAAGCCAGGGGAGCGAACGGGAUUAGAUACCCCGGUAGUCCUGGCCGUAAACGAUGGGUACUAGGUGUAGGAGGUAUCGACCCCUUCUGUGCCGGAGUUAACGCAAUAAGUACCCCGCCUGGGGAGUACGACCGCAAGGUUGAAACUCAAAGGAAUUGACGGGGGCCCGCACAAGCGGUGGAGUAUGUGGUUUAAUUCGACGCAACGCGAAGAACCUUACCAGGCCUUGACAU